This 335-nucleotide unclassified non-coding RNA is filed under the name Hevea brasiliensis (rubber tree). The record is from RNAcentral. Lineage: Eukaryota; Viridiplantae; Streptophyta; Magnoliopsida; Malpighiales; Euphorbiaceae.
CUCAGCAUAUAUAAACCAUCAAUUACAUCCUGCAAGUUAAACAAAGAUUAAAAAUCAGCAAAUGCUAACAAUACACAGUGAUCACAGAAGGCAAUCUAAACCAUCACAAGUAGAAGAUACCUACGAGUCCUAUAGAUGCAAUAAACGUCAACUCAGACUACCUAAUAGUCCUAUAAAGAUGCAAUAAAUGUGAGGAUAAGGUUCACCAUCUGAGUAUCAUAAACAGGGCCUUCCAUUUGGAAGUGGCCAGCUCCUUCAAUUAGAUGUGUUUCAAUGCGCCCUGAAGCAGAUCUUAGCUUGUUCUGCAGCUGCUUAACACUGGUAAACCCAUCCCG